RNAcentral lists this ribosomal RNA (468 nucleotides) under uncultured bacterium. RNAcentral describes it as "partial 16S ribosomal RNA". It matches the Rfam family "Bacterial small subunit ribosomal RNA", at positions 28 to 507 of the family's 1533-position model. The record is from RNAcentral.
GACGAACGCUGGCGGCGUGCUUAACACAUGCAAGUCGAACGGAAAGGCCCUGCUUUUGUGGGGUGCUCGUGUGGAGAACGGGUGAGUAACACGUGAGUAACCUGCCCUUGACUUGGGGAUAACUUCAGGAAACUGGGGAUAAUACCGGAUAGGAGCUCCUGCUGCAUGGUGGGGGUUGGAAAGUUUCGGCGGUUGGGGAUGGACUCGCGGCUUAUCAGCUUGUUGGUGGGGUAGUGGCUUACCAAGGCUUUGACGGGUAGCCGGCCUGAGAGGGUGACCGGCCACAUUGGGACUGGGAUACGGCCCGGACUCCUACGGGAGGCAGCAGUGGGGAAUAUUGCACAAUGGGCGGAAGCCUGAGGCAGCAACGCCGCGGGCGGGAUGACGGCCUUCGGUUUGUAAACCGCUUUCGCCUGUGACGAAGCGUGUGUGACGGUAGUGGGUAAAGAAGCACCGGCUAACUACGUG